RNA transcript from Populus nigra (black poplar), 1573 nucleotides. It is a transcript of the gene named GATA transcription factor 25-like, with no coding region annotated. The transcript is spliced from 7 exons. The record is from RefSeq and is a predicted model, not a curated record. Lineage: Eukaryota; Viridiplantae; Streptophyta; Magnoliopsida; Malpighiales; Salicaceae.
CAAACUCAUAAAGGCAUACGGUGGGUUUCUCACUAUAGACUUCAUUCAGUCCAAUUUGGAAUAGAAGGCCGCCGCCCAAUUUUAGCCGUUUUUCACUUUUCCCUAUAUCGAGUUGCGCUUCACCUUUCCUUGCCUAACUCACCCCACCGUUCCGUCUGUCGUUGCCCUUUACUCUCCGGUCUCUCCCUCUCUCAACUCUUUCCGAACGCGCUAGGAGUUCCCUAAACAAAAACCCCAACUCUCUAGCUUGCUAUUAAACACAUUCUCUCUCCGGUAAAGAUUGAAUUCUUCUUCCUUUUCUUUCACUCAGUUCGCUCACUUGGGGUUAGGGUUUCGUAAAUUGCCUGCCCAAUCCUCUUCCCCUAUCUGUAAUGCUUCAAAUUCCACCCGAGAUUCGCCAAUGUACACUCCCUCGCAGCCUAUGAACGUUCACAAUCAGAUCGUCUCUCCUGGCGUUGACGAAGACGGUGCCCCAGCGGAUCCUAUCGACCACCACCAUCACAUUCACUACGAAGACGGCACUCCUGCAGUCGUGGUCGAAGACGUCUCUCCCGAUUCCGUCUACGUUACCGCCGGUGUCGCUGCGUCGGAACUCGGGAUUCAGCCUAGUGAUGGUUCGAGUCAGCUCACCCUGACGUUUCGUGGACAAGUUUAUGUUUUCGAUUCCGUUACUCCUGACAAGGUUCAAGCUGUAUUGUUAUUACUGGGAGGAUGUGAAUUAACUCCUGGUCUGGAAAUGACUCCUCAAAAUCAAAGGGGUGUGGCGGAGUACCCACCGCGGUGUACUCAACCUCAACGAGCAGCUUCAUUAAGUAGGUUCCGGCAGAAGAGAAAAGAGCGAUGCUUUGAUAAGAAAGUUAGAUAUGGUGUCCGUCAGGAGGUUGCACUCAGGAUGCAGCGGAAUAAGGGUCAAUUCACCUCUGCCAAGAAGUCUGAGGGAGGAUAUGGCUGGGAUGGUGGUCAGGAUUCAGCACAAGAUGAUAGCCAACAUGAAACCUCGUGUACACAUUGUGGCACUAAUUCAAAAUCCACUCCAAUGAUGCGGCGUGGUCCAUCUGGUCCAAGGUCUCUUUGCAAUGCCUGUGGGCUUUUUUGGGCAAACAGAAAAAAGGCUGUUCUUGUUUGCUUUGCUUUAAAUUCUAUCUGCACGCUACAAUUUAUUGGAAAGAUGACUCGGUUGUAACGUUCUCUUCUAAUAAUGUUCACCUCUCCAAAGUCCAAUUUUGUCUAAAUUCAUUUCAUGCCAUCCAAAAUAAACAGAACAUUAUGCAACCCCCGCCUUAUUUAAAAAAUAGACAUUGGAUUCCGUAUUUGACUAAUAAAACUCUGCAGGGAACUUUGAGAGAUCACUCCAAGAAAGCCCUGGAGCAUUCUGUGGCUCCAAUUGAUCUGGGUGAAACAGAAGCCAACGAAUCGGACUCUGUCCCUGCUAUCGAUACACAUAACAAUCCUGUUACGCAAAUGGUGGUGAUACAGCCUUAAUAACAGAUCAUUGACCGAGUUUCUGAGUUGUAUUUCAAGAAUGGCUACUGUAAUCGGAAUCAAUUCAUGUUGAAGGUUUUAUAGCAAUUAA